AAUAUUGGACAAUGGGGGCAACCCUGAUCCAGCCAUGCCGCGUGUGUGAAGAAGGUCUUCGGAUUGUAAAGCACUUUAAGUUGGGAGGAAGGGCUUUAGGUUAAUACCCUGAAGUUUUGACGUUACCAAUAGAAUAAGCACCGGAUAACUCUGUGCCAGCAUCCGCGGUAAUACAGAGGGUGCAGGCGUUAAUCGUAAUUACUGGGCGUAAAGCGCGGGUAGGUGGUUCAGUAAGAUGGGUGUGAAAUCCCCGGGCUUAAACUGGGAACUGCUUUCAUAACUGCUGAGCUAGAGUACGGUAGAAGGUAGUGGAAUUUCCUGUGUAGCGGUGAAAUGCGUAGAUAUAGGAAGGAACACCAGUGGCGAAGGCGACUACCUGGACUGAUACUGACACUGAGGUGCGAAAGCGUGGGGAGCAAAC
This 421-nucleotide ribosomal RNA is filed under the name uncultured bacterium. Its description in RNAcentral is "partial 16S ribosomal RNA". It matches the Rfam family "Bacterial small subunit ribosomal RNA", at positions 360 to 773 of the family's 1533-position model. The record is from RNAcentral.